GAAAGGACGGGUAAUACCGGAUACCCCGGGGUGCCGCAUGGCACCCCGGCUAAAGCCCCGACGGGAGGGGAUGGCUCCGCGGCCCAUCAGGUAGACGGCGGGGUGACGGCCCACCGUGCCGACAACGGGUAGCCGGGUUGAGAGACCGACCGGCCAGAUUGGGACUGAGACACGGCCCAGACUCCUACGGGAGGCAGCAGUGGGGAAUCUUGCGCAAUGGGGGGAACCCUGACGCAGCGACGCCGCGUGCGGGACGGAGGCCUUCGGGUCGUAAACCGCUUUCAGCAGGGAAGAGUCAAGACUGUACCUGCAGAAGAAGCCCCGGCUAACUACGUGCCAGCAGCCGCGGUAAUACGUAGGGGGCGAGCGUUAUCCGGAUUCAUUGGGCGUAAAGCGCGCGUAGGCGGCCCGGCAGGCCGGGGGUCGAAGCGGGGGGCUCAACCCCCCGAAGCCCCCGGAACCUCCGCGGCUUGGGUCCGGUAGGGGAGGGUGGAACACCCGGUGUAGCGGUGGAAUGCGCAGAUAUCGGGUGGAACACCGGUGGCGAAGGCGGCCCUCUGGGCCGAGACCGACGCUGAGGCGCGAAAGCUGGGGGAGCGAACAGGAUUAGAUACCCUGGUAGUCCCAGCCGUAAACGAUAACGCUAGGUGUGGGGGGACGAUCCCCCCGUGCC
This 673-nucleotide ribosomal RNA is filed under the name uncultured bacterium. RNAcentral's name for it is "partial 16S ribosomal RNA". It matches the Rfam family "Bacterial small subunit ribosomal RNA", at positions 153 to 847 of the family's 1533-position model. The record is from RNAcentral.